Molecule: long non-coding RNA, 1873 nt
Organism: Astatotilapia calliptera (eastern happy)
Lineage: Eukaryota; Metazoa; Chordata; Actinopteri; Cichliformes; Cichlidae
Source: Ensembl
CUGAAAGUCUAUGAAGUGGUCAAAAGUUGUGACUGCACAGGUCAUGAUGUGUCCAGAGUGUUUUUUUGUUUGUUUGUUUUUUUGUGGUCGGCGUGUGUAUAUCAGGGUACAGGAAGUAAAGGAUUAAUCAAACAAGUGCUUUAGUUGGUCCUUGGGCUCUCCAGAAAUAUAUUUAGACUUCUCAGAAAAAAUAGAGCACACAGUGCAAAGAAGAAGAACAUAAUGCUCAUUAUGGGAAACAGGCUCAGCAGAAGGCGAGAAACCCCAGCCAGCACCCAUGAAACUGUGGCUGUUGAAGAGAAGACCACAAAGGAGCCAGGAAACGACUCUGCAGUUACACAGACUCACGAAGCCGCCAAAACGGAGGAUCUAGAUGUGGUGGUGGGAGAGCCAGUGACACCAGUGGCAUGUUUACCCAAUGAAGAAUGUGUCGCGGAUUUUAAAGAAGCAGAGGCUUCCAGUGCCUCAGCCCCGAAAAAUGAUACAGAACCAGCACCUAUGGUAAAGGAAGCCCCAGUCCAACCUGAACCUCAGGUCUCAGCCAGCACACCUUCACCUUCAGAACCAGCUGCUGAAGCUGAGCUUGCUCCUGACUCCGAACCAGACAUUGAGAUAGUCCAGCCCAGCUCAGAGCCAGCACCACCCUCAGUGGAGCAUCUGGAGCAGCAGCCGGAUCAACUAACACAAGAUUCUCUCCAUGAACCGGUUCUUUCUUCGCCCCCUUUGACCAACUCUGGUUCCCCUGAUUUCGCGCCCUCCCAAGAUCCCAUCCCUGUCCCAGUCAAUCCAGACGAGCCAUCAGACCUCCCAGCUGGUGAGGAAUGCCAAGAUGGGGAUGAGGCUGCUGACAUUUCCAUGCUUGAGCCAGAGAAGCCAGCAGAAGCGCAUCUGGAAAAGCCGAUGGAGGUGGAGGCUGAAGAGAGUUUGGAGAAGCUUGGAAGUGAUGUCAACGAGGAAAGCAUUAGUGAAACCCCAAAGAACUCGGAGCUGAGAGGAAAUGACCUUGGCAGUGACCUCAUUCCAAGAGAUGUCAAUGUCCCUGAUGACACUCCCAUCACAGACAUGAGCACAUCUACUGAGCUGAUGUGAAUCCAUCAGAGGAUUCAUGAAGGAAGUGAAACCCUCUAAAUCUAAAUUGUGUAUGGAUCUAAAAACAGUGGUUUGUCUCACCCAAGUGCCCACAUUAAUGCCAAUAGAGCCUUUUUUUUAAUGUUAAAUGAACCAAAGGUGCCAAAAAGCAGUGUGUGUGUACAUGUGUGUGUUGUGAUGGAAAGAAGAGUGACCUAGAAUGCUUCAUUAUUAGACAGAUCUUCAUCUGUGAAGAUCCAGGCAGAAAUUAAAUGUGUCUUGUAUAUAUUUGAGCAGUUUUCUUUUUUGUUUAAAAAAAAAAUAGCAACAAAAAGAAAAAUGAAAAGAAGGUUAAUGAAAUAAAUGUAAAGGACAAAGAAUGCAACUUCAGCUGGAAACGGCAUGUGCAUUCCACAACUGGUUACGAGUAUCUACUACACAUUUAUGAAUUAACAUAGUAAUACUUGGCAUUUUCAAUAAUCCACUAAUCAGAAUGAUUGUCAUCUUAUGUAAUUUUAAAUAAAAUAAAUGAAUUUUCAAUGUCAAGUAGUUGCCUUUGACAAUAAACUGGCAUUUACACAUCAAAAUCUUGCUCCCUGUUUUUCCAAAGGUAUAUUUUAUAGUAUCUGGUCACACUGAAGAUUCUGGGAAUAGAUUUUUGUGGGGGAAGAAAAAUAGGAGAUACUCUGGGCAUGUUUGACAAACUACUACAUGUACGGGGCACUCUGCAAAUGGCAAUAGAAAUCUAUGUAGCAAAUCCCAGUUCAUUUAAGAGGGACUGGAGCUUCUCACUGUCUCGUGGGAG